AGCAGCCGCGGUAAUUCCAGCUCCAAUAGCGUAUAUUAAAGUUGUUGCAGUUAAAAAGCUCGUAGUUGAAUUUCGGGGUUCUUCCGUUGGUCAGGCUAACAAGUCUGUACUAGCGUGUAGAAUCUCUACCUUCUGGGGAACCAUCAUGUUAUUAAUUUAGCGUGGUGGGAAACCAGGACCUUUACCUUGAAAAAAUUAGAGUGUUCAAAGCAGGCUUACGUCUGAAUACAUUAGCAUGGAAUAAUAAAAUAGGACGGUGGUCCUGUUUUGUUGGUUUCUGAAUCACCGUAAUGAUUAAUAGGGAUAGUUGGGGGCAUUAGUAUUCAAUUGUCAGAGGUGAAAUUCUUGGAUUUAUUGAAGACUAACUUCUGCGAAAGCAUUUGCCAAGGAUGUUUUCAUUAAUCAAGAACGAAAGUUAGGGGAUCGAAGACGAUCAGAUACCGUCGUAGUCUUAACCAUAAACUAUGCCGACUAGGGAUCGGACGAUGUUAAAUUAUUGACUCG
RNAcentral lists this ribosomal RNA (504 nucleotides) under uncultured Scutellospora. RNAcentral's name for it is "SSU rRNA". It matches the Rfam family "Eukaryotic small subunit ribosomal RNA", at positions 569 to 1078 of the family's 1831-position model. Lineage: Eukaryota; Fungi; Glomeromycota; Glomeromycetes; Diversisporales; Gigasporaceae. The record is from RNAcentral.